Molecule: long non-coding RNA, 3802 nt
Organism: Bombus huntii
Lineage: Eukaryota; Metazoa; Arthropoda; Insecta; Hymenoptera; Apidae
Exons: 6
Source: RefSeq, a predicted model, not a curated record
GUCGAAGAAUUGCUUCUGGAUUGCUGGGCGGCGUACCUAAUUCAUAAAUAUUAUUUAACGUUUAAAAUAAAAUUUUACUCUUUUAUUGGCUUCUUUCCCUUUGAAAAAUUGUGAAAGGAAAUAUAGAAAUGGGUACCCACAAAAGAUUUAAUAUAGAAUAUGAAAUUUAUAAAUAAUAUAUUAUAAUUUAUAACGAUAAUUUCAUUACUUUUAAAAUGAAAAGAAAAAUGAAGGAUCUAAAGAUAAUUCUUACAAGUGAAAUAAAGUAUUAAAAAGUCUGAAUUUAAAUAUGAGGUGAGAAGAAAAAAUAGAAAACAACGAACAGGAGAGCAGGUUGUGCCUCAAUUUUUGUGACUGGCACAUGAGAGACAGUUGGCACGUGUUUGACGUAUGGUACAGCAGCCACUGCUGGCACUUGGGCAGCGGCAUAUCCAAUGUGUUCUGCUUCAACUUUAGCGGGAACACUAUAUGCAAGCUGUGCCUCUUGUCCGAUAUUAUUUAUGGCGGCUGCCACUGUGAAGAGAACUCCGAACUUCAUCCUGGAAUGACAUAGUAAAUUAACUAUGAAAUACUAAUUAUGAAAUUUACUAAUAUCUUUUAUUAGUGGACAGUUGCUAGAACAUUAACAAUUGUACAGAGUGUAUUAAACGUUUUUCUAUAAUUAGUUAUCUUAAAAAGAUUGAAAAGUGAAAGUGACAAUUUUUAAAGAAAAUUCCAAGCUUCAUUCUGAAUUGAUAUUAUAAGUAAAGUUUGAACAUUUUUUAAUAUUCUAUUUUUUAGCAUAUUUUAUUAUUAAAAAGUUUAGCAGUUUAGUAAUCGCCAAUAAAAAAUAUUGGAAUAUUAAAAAAUUUCAAAUAUGAACCAUAGAUAUAGUCUCUCCAAAAAUUUUCAAAGUUUUUAAAAUAGGAAUAUAAUUAUUUAAGUUAUUUAUAAGAAAAUUAAUUAUAGAAAAGGGAAUAUGGUGAUGAAGGUAGUAGCAUCGAUUAGUAAUUGAAAUAAUCAUCUAAAAGCACCAGAAGUGUGAAAUUAAGAAGUGUUCAGGCCAAUUCAGAGAGACAAAGUUACCUUGAUCGCCCAAAAAUGAAACGACGUGCGAAUGAGCGAAGGGGUGUAAGGUGCAAGACUGUCCCAUCUGUGGCAGCAGACGUUGCUUAUAUGGACGUGGUCGUAAAGGGGACCCCUUCUCACAAAACCAUCAUUGCCUUACCCCUCCCAUACGAACAAAGGCUCAAAGUUGACCAAAACUGGGUCGAUCUACUUUACUCCUCCACGUGUUCAAUCUUCGAGAAACCUGCUCCCUCAUAGGAACUGACAGUUAUGCAUCACCCUGUCCCUAUGACACGAUCAUUAAUUUCACCAUUUCGCAAUAUCACACUGGUCAUUAAGAGCACUUAAUUAUUCUGAAAAUCCGUUGCUCUUGAUUGACUUCUUGUAGUUAAUUGUUGAGAAAGAUUAAUUCUUGGCUAAGGAUUUGUAAAAAUAGUUUAAUCUAUACAACAUGGUAAUCUUCUAGAUGAUAGAAGUAUAUAGCAUAAAUCAAUCUGGUAAGUUUGUAACUACACAAAAUUUGGUUUCGUGGUAAUUUGAGUUUUUUAUAAUUAAUGAAGAAUAUUAAGAUACUUAUUUAAAUAAUAAUUUAUCUGAAUAUUAGUAGAGUAUGAAUUGAAUAAUGUCCAUGAACGUGAAAAGUUCUCUUUCUUUAACCACUUUUAUUUAUUCAUUUCUUUUUUCUAUAGGAUAUUAGCCACUUUGAUCACAAGAAUUUUUACUUAUAGGUUUGAGAAAUGAAUUUAUCGCAUAAAAUAUAAUUGAAAAAGAAAUUUGUCAUCAACGUGCUCGUUUAAAAGCAGUAAUCGAAGAUUAAUGAAUGAAGUGGAGCAAUUUUGAAUGCCAAAGGAUUAUAGGUAUUCGAAAGUGAAAACAGAGAAUUCAACUAGGUCGAUGCGCCUUUACAAUUCGAUUGUUAUUCGUCCCAUGUGCGUGUGGGCCCGUGUAAAAUUCAUCACUCACGAAAUGUUGACGCGAGCUUCUUUUAAAAAAAGUGAAAAGAACGUUUCCUGAACCGAUCACAUGAAAUUUUAUUAUUCCACGUUCAUUUAACAAGACGAUAAAUAUUGAAUAGUUACUAUUUCCGAUAAUAGAAUAUUUUGAAGAUUAAGACACAAAUCUAAGAUUUUAAUUUACUGAGUUUUGUUAGCUUAGGAUUACUUUAGAUUGAAAUUAAAAUCAUUAUAAUCAAGGAUAAUGCAUGGAAAAUUCAUAUUGUUCUUGUAAAUUAUUUUAUUUCAUUCAAAAGAUUUUUGAAAAAAUUGAUGUGUAAGCAAUAUGCGUACAGAUAUAGAUUUUAUCAAAGUAUGGCCUUAAUCUUAAUCCUAAAUUAAUCCUACAUUAAUAAACUAUAGUAAGCUAUAAUCUUAGACAAAAGUUAUAAAGAUCUUAAAAAAAAAAAAAGUUUUGCGUUGAAAAUUAAAGGCUUCUAUUAUGACUUUACCAUGAUCAGUUUUUUCUGCAAAGGUAUCAAGGUAAUCUUCUCUUAUUUUUUUUCUCAACAACAUACUUAUUUUUUAUUGACAAUUUAGAGCAACUUACGUCACGCUUAUAUAUAUUUACUUUCGUAUAGGACAGCUCUGGAAAUGAAAGACAAAACGAUUUAAAAGCAGAUUGGAAUCUAGAAAGGUCGUGGACAUGUUAAUUCAUUCCUCAUUCUCACUGGAUUUUAUCUUUAAUUUCGUUUCCUAUACCAUUAUUGUAACCUUAAAUCUCUUAUUCCAUUUCAUACUACUACAAGCAUUCUUUUUCCAGUACUAAGAUUGGUAAAAUGUCGUGAGCAAAAUUGUACGAGUACAAAUUCAGUUAUUUAUUAACAACAUCUUGCAAUGCUGAUUCGAAUGAUGCAACAAUAUUAAAAAUUAUAAUCAUAUCGGCGAUCAUCGUUUAAUAAAUAAUGCAGUUCGAUUUCGAAUUACCAAACUCAUUGCAAGCUCUAUAAUUGCUCAAAAGAAAUCACGUUGCUGUUGCGAAUUGAACAUACGACGACUGAUUAAUUAUUGUUCUGUAACCACAUGGUAACUCAUGUUAACUUCAUUUCAGACUUUACAUGGAUAGAAGUUGUGAGGGAUAAUUGUAUAUCAUAAAUAUUAAUUGCGAGUCAUUUAACUCGUGAUUUUCGAUUUCAAAAUUUAAAUAUUUACACAAUCGAUAAAUUGUGCUAUUAUCUUCUCUUAACAGAGGAGAUCCUGGUGCUUAAGUCCGGUCGUCAAGUGAUCAUUUCAGCCUUGCUCAAUAUCUAUGUAUGUAUAUGUACCAAGGUCGGGCGUUGAUCAAAGGAAUAACGAUCGAUAUUUUCAUGCUCUCGAUCCAGAUGAAAAUGUUGCGCAACUUUAUGUAUACCCUAAACCGAUAGAGAUGAUGUUUUCAGCGAAAGAAGUACUGUGUGAGUCCUUACGUACGAUAUGCAUCGGAAGAUGAAGAAAUAAUACAAAGUGCUGGAGUCAAGUGACAGGAAAAAUGAAGACCGAAGCAAUAAUAAUAAAUCAUUUGUACUUGUAAACAAAUUGCUGUUGCUUUAGAUGAAGUAGUUGACACGAUAAAUACUUAAAAGGAAACAGAAAGAAGGAAUUAUGGAGAGAUACGAAGUUAAAACGGAACCGAAUCCAUUUAUCUCACGUCAUUUAUGACGUUUUACAAGAGAGCAACUGCAAGUCAAUGUCAACAUCCCAUUACAUUACUUGAGCAUAUUUCUUUAGUCACUUACUCUUUAAAAAAUGUGUACAUAAAAUGGGUCAUGAAAAAUAAAAUAUUU